RNAcentral lists this ribosomal RNA (207 nucleotides) under uncultured bacterium. RNAcentral's name for it is "partial 16S ribosomal RNA". It matches the Rfam family "Bacterial small subunit ribosomal RNA", at positions 568 to 774 of the family's 1533-position model. The record is from RNAcentral.
AGCGUAGGCGGACUUUUAAGUGAGAUGUGAAAUACCCAGGCUCAACCUGGGGGCUGCAUUUCAAACUGGAAGUCUAGAGUGCAGGAGAGGAGAGUGGAAUUCCUAGUGUAGCGGUGAAAUGCGUAGAGAUUAGGAAGAAUACCAGUGGCGAAGGCGCCUUUCUGGACUGUAACUGACACUGAGGCUGAAAGCGUGGGGGAGCAAACA